Zingiber officinale is the source of this 3066-nucleotide long non-coding RNA. RefSeq lists it as uncharacterized. The record is from RefSeq and is a predicted model, not a curated record. The transcript is spliced from 2 exons. Lineage: Eukaryota; Viridiplantae; Streptophyta; Magnoliopsida; Zingiberales; Zingiberaceae.
AAGACAUUGAACGAAAUUUUAAUCGAUCCGCCGAGUCCCGUCGCCCCCCUCCCUCCUCUGUCUUUUAUUGGCUUCAAUCUUCGAAGCAGCUCCCCUCAAUUGACUCCUCCGCCAGCCACCGACCGCGCUAUCAUUCCCUUCUCCGUUCGUCCAUCCGCAGCUUGCGUUCCUCGACCCUCUCCGAUCCAGAAGGCUUCUUAUUCGACUCGAAGAGGCGGCGGAUGGCGACCCUCUGGUCGACUUGGUGGUCGUUGUUUGUUCUUCGGUUGUCCGUCGCUUCGGAUUCGGCUGGCCAUGGCUCCGUAGUGCGUCUGCGCUCUCCUUUUCUCAUAUUCGAUUGCUUUGGUGCUGUUCUGUAUUAUUUCCUUGAAGAUUUUUUAUUUCGAUCGUGAUCGCGUUCGCGUGGGACAUUCGGAAUUAGGGUUUUCGAGUUGAAGCCCGAUUAGGCAAUUAGGGUUGCAUGUGAUCAAAGCGGCCCACAAAGGAGCACGCCUUUAGAGAGAGAGAGAGAGAGAGAGAAAGAGGGUACGGCACUACCCGCCGACGCCGAGGUAGCUGGUGAACAUAUAGUAAAAACUUCUAGUUACAAAGCAGAGAAGACGAUAGUUACAAAGCAGAGUUGAGUCAUGCCAUCUAAAUUUCUAGCCUAUGAAAAGGAUGAUCAAGAAAAAAUGGGAAGUAAAUCUGCAGCCCAUGUCAGAAAAUUUUCAACUAGCUGUCAAUCCUCUCUAUUACCAAAAGUCAUGUACUGUGGGGAGAUUUUCCCUCUAGUGCAGCCAUGUACUCUCGCAAAGGAAUUAAAACUGCCAAUUUGGAAGAGCAAGAGCUUAUAGAAACCAAAUAGCUUGCAGCUACAAGAGGCUCAGAUUGCCACUCACGUUUCAGUUCCAGUUCGGUUCUAUCAGAGUAUCAUUUGAAAUCAAGCCAACUAUUAUUGAAGAGGAGCAGUUGAAAUUCAUGCCGAUCAGUCAGAAUUUGGAGGAAGCUGAUAAUAUCCUGGCUGAGGCUUUCCAAUCUGGCGUCAUUGAUUGGGGAUUGCUCGAGAGACUGAAGUAUCAUCAGAAAUGUGUGGUUCAUGAAGGAACCAAUAGACCCAAAUCAAUCAAGAACAAGUCUCCAGUGCUUUAUACAUUUGACACAUCCGCACAACACACUAGAGGAAAAGCUUGUCUCAAAUCUGAAAGCUUUGGUUCUCUUAAUCUCGAAAUGAAACAGCUAACUGUGGAUGAACAUUUUGAACAAUUGAAUGAUUCUAAUAAACAUGCUGCUGAUAGUCAUAUAUAUACAAUGAGUCCUGUUCAGAAUUGAAAACCGCAUGGGCUGAGUUUGUCCAUGCAUUCGGAUUGUGGAACUUCAGCUCCAACUUCCAAUCUUCUCUAUAAUACUUCAGCUGCCACACAUGAUACCACAGAGAUUCAAGCCACUAGAUUGCAAAUUGGAAAGGAGUUCCAAGAUUAUCCUCAUAAUCAAGGUUUAACAUAUUGUUUGUGGCAGCUACAUCAUGGCAGCAACAUACACAAUCAUCUAUGCGAGGAACCGUUUUGAGUCUUAUUUUGAUGACACCAUUUUAAUGGAAGGAAAUAAUUGUGAAAUUUCAAUUUUCCAUUUUGUGGAUGACAAAUUCAUUGAUGAAUCUCCUUGCCUUUCCAGCUCAUGUCCUUUCCCUUGUGUCAGUCUCAGCAGAGCAUCUAAUACUUUGCAAGCUGAGACUGAGAUCUCAACUGAAAAAUCAAAAACCCAAAUUGGUAGCCAGAAGCAAAUUUCUCAAAAUAGUCUCCAGCAUUUUUUAAUCCUUGCAGGUAAAGAAGAAAAAAAAACAGUGGAUGUGAUGUUUAAAGGAUGGUUCCUCUCCCGUAAAGCUGAAAACAGUGGAUGUCAAGUUAUAAAGUGAGGUGGAAUCCAUUGAGGAUGGUAUUUAACCCUUUGCUGAUGCCUAAUUUCCUCUUCACCUGCUCAGAGUUAUUUUAUAUAUGAAAAUGAAACAGUUCUGAUGUCUGAAAAACAACAUAUACUUCAAAUGACGAAUCCUGUUGAAAACAAAGAUUACUCACAAUGACAAUCAUGAUGCUAAGAUUUGGAAAGCUAUUCUUCAAAUUUCCUGGAAAAAUGGAGUGCCUUUGUUUAUGUUCUCAUCCUCACAUGGUGAUACUCUUGCAGCAUGCACACAAGUAUGAUUCCGAGUGCACUUGUACAAUAUUUAGUCUUAAUGAAGUUUAGAAGAUUGAUGCCUGGGCUAAUAUGGGAAAAAGGAGUAAUAAACACUGGUUGGUAUCUAAUAAUAUCAUUGGUAGGAUGAAUAUUUCCAGAACGAAGAAUCAUGACCUAAAAAAUCAUUAUUUCACAGGAGAGUUUGUGUUGUGUAUGGUGCUGAACCAACACCAUUUCAUCUACUUGUGCUCAUUCUUCAAGGUUCCUGAAGAAACGCCAGAAAGUUGUGAUUCUGUGCUGCACCCCAGCAACCUCAGUGAUUCUUUUGAAGAGAGAAGUAAGACUGCAAGGUGAUCGGGACAGUAGUAACUCAGAUCUAUGCAUUAUGGUAAUUCGACUUCCAAGUGGAGUUCAUGGUCCGUCAAUUGAUGGCAAACCUCCACCUAUGAUCCAAAGAUGGAAACCAGGAGGAAAAUGUGACCGAGGGACUGUCCAAACCUCAACACUGGGGAACAGUGUGGUCGACUAAAGCUGUUCCUUCAGGGCGGAUCACGGGCAAAUGCUCAUCACGCCUUCCACAUGAUCUCGUCUUUCAUUUCUUGUAUUCAAGCUUUUGCAAUUUGCUUAGCAGCUCUGCACUGUUGGGCCCUGCCAUUCAUUCUGCUGCGUUAAGAAAGUUGUCACUGCCAGAUAAAAGAUCUCCUCCCACUAGUUAUCAACUUCACUGCCCCCCUCUGUCUCCUGUCGGGAGAGCGUAGUUGUCUCUGAAUCAUUGUGGGUGGAGGAGGUAAGUUAAUGAGGAAACAUGCUUUAUGACAUUUUUUCUGAUCCUGCUUGGAUUAGCCACUAUUUGUAUACAUUGACUUGUCAUAGUUUAAUUAGGUGCAUGGGUAAAAAAACAGAAGAAAUUACGUUCCA